CUUGAACCAGUGAGCUCACCUUGAAGUUCUGAAAAACUCUCCAGAAGGAAUCGAAGCGUUUCGUUGAAGUUUUUACGUCGAAACUCAAGCUCGCCGGAUUCUGGAAUUUUUCCGACCACCGAAGCUUUCGAUCGGUAUAUCUCGAGCUACAGACCAUAUUUUUCUGUGAUUCUUGAACCAGUGAGUUCUUCUUGAGUUUCUUAACAACUCUUAAGAAGGAAUCGAAGCCUUAAAUUGACGUUUUUACGUCGAAUUGGAGCUCGCCGUUUUCUGCAGUUUCUCGCCGGUUUCUGGAAAAUUCCGGCCACCUUCAUACUGUUCAAGGUGAUUGACGGUCUCCCUUGGGUGAAAGAUUUCGGUGUGUAUUGUGUUGAAUUGAAGACGCAGCGGGAAUAUCGAGCGGGUAAUCCUACAGGACAGGAGAACCAGGACGGUGAUCGUGCGGUUAGAGCAAUUGUUAGAGUUUUACAGCAAUUGUACGUUGUGAGGUGUGUUAUGCUCAUUUGAGCUUUACAAUAUUGCUUGUGAGAGUGAAUUGUAAUAAUGAACUCGAAGUUUCGAGAUUUGGAUUUUGUAAUUGUAAU
Long non-coding RNA from Rosa rugosa (rugosa rose), 584 nucleotides. RefSeq lists it as uncharacterized. The record is from RefSeq and is a predicted model, not a curated record. Lineage: Eukaryota; Viridiplantae; Streptophyta; Magnoliopsida; Rosales; Rosaceae. The transcript has 3 exons.